AACUAAGUUUGUUAUUGGUAUGAGCUUUCGUGUGCAUGCACACUUCAGAUAUCUUCUUUUGGUAUCUGAAGAAGUGUGCAUGCACACGAAAGCUCAUACCGAUAACUAACGUAGUUGG
Podarcis lilfordi (Lilford's wall lizard) is the source of this 118-nucleotide non-coding RNA. The record is from the annotation of a GenBank genome assembly. NCBI's taxonomy places the organism in Eukaryota, Metazoa, Chordata, Lepidosauria, Squamata, Lacertidae.